UACAGUUGUAUAAAUCGUCCACCCUUUGGAUGAAAAGCAAAUGAUUUAUCCGGAUUUUGUUCAUCCGAAACUAAAUCACUAGUAUCAACAUCCGGUGUAAUUUUUGCUUGUAUUUUGGAGAAACUCGAUUGAUUUCUAGCAAACUUGGUUUACCACUACUGUACAUCGUCGCUUAUUAUUAUUUGGUUUAUUGCGAGUGUCAUGGAAAGCUGGAACUUUUCAGUACACAACAUGCAAACUGAGAAUGAACUGUGUGUGCCGGCUUUGUGAACAAAAACGCAAGGCGGCUAUGAUACACUGUGUUGUGUGUGGAUAAGAAAUGCAGAGUGGUACCACCAAUUACCUAAGCCAC
Mya arenaria is the source of this 352-nucleotide long non-coding RNA. RefSeq lists it as uncharacterized. The transcript has 3 exons. The record is from RefSeq and is a predicted model, not a curated record. Lineage: Eukaryota; Metazoa; Mollusca; Bivalvia; Myida; Myidae.